UUAACUGGGUCCAUGCUGCUUUUGCUAGAAAAUUAAGGUUCGCCAUAUUUUUGUAUCUUUUAAAUGUUAAUUUUAAUUAAUUGUGAUAAUUUUAAUUGUUGUUUUAUAUAAAUAUGGAUUUAUUUAUAACUGGUGAUCUAGUGGCUGUUCAAUUUAUAUCUGUACAUCUCGUUUUAAGUUGUGUUAUUGUGCCUUUUGGUUGAUCUUUUUUUGAGACUCGACUCUAGUGAAAAUUGGGUUCAAAUUUAGUUGAAACGUUGGUCAUUCUGAUUGUUAUUAAUUGAUCACAAGCGAUGAGCAAGAUGUUUUAAUUGUUAAUUAGUUGGUAUGGCUGGUUAAUCUGUUCAAAUUUGGUCUAGUUCGUGAUAUAUAACAAUUAUUGGUGAUAACUGGUCGUCCCAAAGUUAAGUCAAUGUAAAUUGUAUCACGAAAAGGGCCUUAAGCUGAGUUUAAAGUAAAGUAAAGAUAUUGAAGUAAACAAGUUUGUUAACUUGAAAUUUACUUUGAUUACCUUAAACCCUAAUUGGUAACCGCAUAAUAUAAAGGAUGGGAAAGCAUAAUCAAAUAAAAUAAUCACCCAACAAUUGGCAAAUCAUCAAGGAGAAGCAAAAGAAGGAAUGCUGGAAGAUUCAUGAUAUGAUUUGGAGAAAAGAAAAGAGAAGCUUUUGAAAAGGAAACAUCAACAACAUCAACAAGUAACCAAAUUGAAUAAACCCAAAUUAACAUGAAAGAGGGAAUAUUAAUGGAAGAAACAACAAUCAAUACUAAUCUGAUCUAAUUCAAUGAUUGACCACCCAAAGGUGUUUCAAAAAAGCCGGAUUAAAAGCCAAACUUAUUGGAAACAAACAUACAUUUUUCAAAAUUAUCAUCUUAUUAACCCAAAAGUCUGAUGAACACAAAGAAGGAAAAGUAAUAACAUAAGCUCAGCUUCUGUUAAUAACAAAAUUAUCCUUUAAUGAUCACCAUUAAAUGGUUAAUAUAAAGGCGCGCCCAAUCAUCCCUCAUCAUAAUCAUCCUUUUUUUUAAAAAAAGUAAAGAAAUGGGAAACGAAAAUUCUUUCAUCUUCAUCAUGACUUGUACUUCACCAACUUUACACUGUUCAUCAUGUUGUCUUCAUUGGUUUGACUAAUAGCUCGGAUGUGUAUUACUAAUGAUCUAGUUGGUAAAAGCUGAUUAUUUCAACUGCCAUGUUAUACAAUGUUUACUGAUGGACAGCCAAGUCAAUAAUGUUACACUUGGAGAAAAGUAUUUCAACAAUUUGCCUUCAACUCAUUUUUUUGAAACAAUGUCUCUGGAUCAAUAUUUAAACAUCAACUUGGAGCCAACAGUAUUGUACAGCUUCAACAACAACAAGCCACUUCGUAAAUGAUGAUAAAACUGUUUCUCUUCCUUUCUCUUCAUAAUCAUCUUCUUUUUAGUUGUUCCUUUUUUGUUCGCUUCUUGCUUUUGGCCAACUUCAUUGAAAUUGAUUUGUCCCAUUGAUCUUCAUCUAUUUUCAUCUUACAUGAUUAAUAGUAACACACACUCACAGUGAGACAGAGGAAAAUUGUUACCAAUGGAAAAUAAUCAAUCAACUUUAACCUUCCUUCCUCACAUUCAUUGCUCACCUUUUUUUUAACAGUCUUCAAUUGUAAAUAUAAAUACAAAUGUAUUAUUGUAAUGUUAAAAUGGCUUAUUGCCGCACCAAAACAUCCCAAUGGUUAAUGUUUACAUUUAAACAAAACCAUUGAAAGUCAAAAGCAGAAGAAAAAUGAAAACAUUGACCUUCCCAAAUAUCAACCUUGAUUCAAUAUAACUUGAAUAUUCCUUCUGUUCUGACCUUAGGUCAUUAAUUUUGCCAUCCCUAUCAGCACUCACUCACACACACUUUACAAUGUGUUAACAAUGUUUAAUCACUAAAGGAGAGAAGAAGAAGAAGAAAACAGAAAAUUCAAAUGUUUACUUCUCAACCUAACCAUUUUUACCCUUCUACACUCUCUAAUUAACCCUCGACAAAUGAUACAUUUGUACAUUAAGUUUGCUCAUUUGAUUGUAAAUGACGAUCAAAUCACAUAUGAAGUGUAAAAUGAGCAAACAUUGAAAGUUAUACUCUGACAAUAAUGGCUUAUUUUGUCCAUUGAAAUGUAACACAAAAUAGGAAAUGAUUAUUGAUUCAUAUUAAUCCAUAUUAACAUUAAAUUAUCAUGCCAAUGAGAGAGUCUAAUAACAAUGAAAA
This is a long non-coding RNA of Tetranychus urticae (two-spotted spider mite), 2215 nucleotides long. RefSeq lists it as uncharacterized. The record is from RefSeq and is a predicted model, not a curated record. Lineage: Eukaryota; Metazoa; Arthropoda; Arachnida; Trombidiformes; Tetranychidae.